This 492-nucleotide ribosomal RNA is filed under the name uncultured bacterium. Its description in RNAcentral is "partial 16S ribosomal RNA". It matches the Rfam family "Bacterial small subunit ribosomal RNA", at positions 29 to 507 of the family's 1533-position model. The record is from RNAcentral.
AGUGAACGCUGGCGGUAGGCCUAACACAUGCAAGUCGAACGGCAGCACAGUAAGAGCUUGCUCUUACGGGUGGCGAGUGGCGGACGGGUGAGGAAUACAUCGGAAUCUACUUUUUCGUGGGGGAUAACGUAGGGAAACUUACGCUAAUACCGCAUACGACCUACGGGUGAAAGCAGGGGAUCUUCGGACCUUUCGCGAUUGAAUGAGCCGAUGUCGGAUUAGCUAGUUGGCGGGGUAAAGGCCCACCAAGGCGACGAUCCGUAGCUGGUCUGAGAGGAUGAUCAGCCAGACUGGAACUGAGACACGGUCCAGACUCCUACGGGAGGCAGCAGUGGGGAAUAUUGGACAAUGGGCGCAAGCCUGAUCCAGCCAUACCGCGUGGGUGAAGAAGGCCUUCGGGUGGUAAAGCCCUUUUGUUGGGAAAGAAAAGCAGCAGGUUAAUACCCCGCUGUUCUGACGGUACCCAAAGAAUAAGCACCGGCUAACUUCGUG